CAGCAGCCGCGGGAAUACGGAGGGAGCUAGCGUUGUUCGGAAUUACUGGGCGUAAAGCGCACGUAGGCGGCUAUUCAAGUCAGGGGUGAAAGCCCGGGGCUCAACCCCGGAACUGCCUUUGAAACUAGAUAGCUUGAAUCUUGGAGAGGCGAGUGGAAUUCCGAGUGUAGAGGUGAAAUUCGUAGAUAUUCGGAAGAACACCAGUGGCGAAGGCGACUCGCUGGACAAGUAUUGACGCUGAGGUGCGAAAGCGUGGGGAGCAAACAGGAUUAGAUACCCGGGUAGUCCCUGUCUCUUAUAC
RNAcentral lists this ribosomal RNA (301 nucleotides) under uncultured bacterium. RNAcentral's name for it is "partial 16S ribosomal RNA". It matches the Rfam family "Bacterial small subunit ribosomal RNA", at positions 509 to 807 of the family's 1533-position model. The record is from RNAcentral.